CCCUUAGAUGUUCUGGGCCGCACGCGCGCUACACUGAUGCAUUCAACGAGUUCCUACCUUGGCCGAGAGGCCUGGGCAAUCUUUUGAACUUGCAUCGUGAUAGGGAUAGAUUAUUGCAAUUAUUAAUCUUGAACGAGGAAUUCCUAGUAAACGCAGAUCAUCAAUCUGCAUUGAUUACGUCCCUGCCCGUUGUACACACCGCCCGUCGCACCUACCGAUUGAAUGGUCCGGUGAAGCCUCGGGAUUGUGGUUAGUUUCCUUCAUUGGAAGUUAGCCGCGAGAACUUGUCUAAACCUUAUCAUUUAGAGGAAGGUGAAGUCGUAACA
Molecule: ribosomal RNA, 326 nt
Filed under: uncultured eukaryote
Lineage: Eukaryota
Description: partial 18S ribosomal RNA
Rfam family: Eukaryotic small subunit ribosomal RNA
Source: RNAcentral